GUAUUGCCAUAAUUCAGCAGCACAUAUACUAAAAUUGGAAUAAUACAGAAAAGAUUAGCAUGGUCUCUGAGAAAGAAUGACAAGCAAAUUCAUAAGAAAAAAAAAGCAUUG
Small nuclear RNA from Suncus etruscus (white-toothed pygmy shrew), 111 nucleotides. The record is from RefSeq and is a predicted model, not a curated record. Lineage: Eukaryota; Metazoa; Chordata; Mammalia; Eulipotyphla; Soricidae.